UACGGAGGGCGCGAGCGUUGUCCGGAAUCACUGGGCGUAAAGGGCGCGUAGGCGGCCCUGGUAAGUCCGCUGUGAAAGUCGGGGGCUCAACCCUCGAAUGCCGGUGGAUACUGUCGGGCUAGAGUGCGGAGGAGGCGAGUGGAAUUCCUGGUGUAGCGGUGAAAUGCGCAGAUAUCAGGAGGAACACCUAUUGCGAAGGCAGCUCGCUGGGACGUAACUGACGCUGAGACGCGAAAGCGUGGGGAGCAAACAGG
RNAcentral lists this ribosomal RNA (254 nucleotides) under uncultured bacterium. Its description in RNAcentral is "partial 16S ribosomal RNA". It matches the Rfam family "Bacterial small subunit ribosomal RNA", at positions 524 to 776 of the family's 1533-position model. The record is from RNAcentral.